AUGAGUCGCUGCUCGCUCGUUUCCUCUGUCGUCUCCUCUCUAUCGUGUCCUCUAUCGUCUCCUCUCUAUCGUCGUCCUCCCUCGUCUCCUCUCUAUCUCGUCCUCCCUCUCGUCUCCUCUCUAUCGCGUCCUCUCGUCUCCUCUCUAUCGUGUCCUCUAUCGUGUCCUCUGUGGUCUCCUCUCUAUCUCGCUCCCUCUCUCUCCUCAUCUCCUUCUCUAUCUCGUCCUCCGUCGUCUCCUCUCUCUCUCUGUCCUCCCUCGUCUCCUCUCUAUCGCGUCCUCCCUCGUCUCCUCUCUAUCGCGUCCUCCCUCGUCUCCUCUCUAUCGCGUCCUCCCUCGUCUCCUCUCUAUCGCGUCCUCCUCGUCUCCUCUCUAUCUCUCCUCCGUCGUCUCCUCCUCUCAUCCUCUCUAUCUCGUCCUCCGUCAUCUCCUCCGCCCUCGUCUCCUCUCUCUCGUCCUCCCUCGUCUCCUCUCUAUCUCGCCUCCCUCGUCUCCUCUCUAUCGCUCCCUCGUCUCUCUCUAUCUCGUCCUCCCUCGUCUCCUCUCUAUCUCGUCCUCCUCUCUCCUCUCUAUCGUCUCCUCUUCGCUCCUCCGUCGUCUCCUCUCUAUCUCGUCCUCUCUCGUCUCCUCUCUAUCGUGUCCUCUGUCGUCUCCUCUCUAUCGUCUCCUCUCUAUCGUGUCCUCUGUGGUCUCCUCUAUCUCGUCCUCCCUCUUCUCCUCCGUCGUCUCCUCUCUAUCUCGUCCUCCUCGUCUCCUCUCUAUCUCGUCCUCCGUCGUCUCCUCUCUAUCUCGUCCUCCCUCGUCUCCUCUCUAUCGCGUCCUCCCUCGUCUCCUCUCUAUCGCGUCCUCCCUCGUCUCCUCUCUAUCUCGUCCUCCCUCGUCUCCUCUCUAUCUCUCCUCCGUCGUCUCCUCUCUACUCGCCUCUCUCUCUCUCUGCGUCCUCCCUCGUCUCCUCUCUAUCUCGCGUCCUCCCUUCGCUCCUCUCUCUCUAUCUCGCCUCCUCCCUCUCCUCUCUAUCUCUUCCUCUCUCUCUCCUCUCGUCUCCUCUCUAUCUCGUCCUCCCUCGUCUCCUCUCUAUCGUGUCCUCUGUCGUCUCCUCUCUAUCGUCUCCUCUCUAUCGUGUCCUCUGUGGUCUCCUCAUCUCCCUCGUCCUCCCUCUCUCCUCCGCUCGUCUCCUCUCUAUCUCGCGUCCUCCUCGUC
Molecule: long non-coding RNA, 1200 nt
Filed under: Scophthalmus maximus (turbot)
Lineage: Eukaryota; Metazoa; Chordata; Actinopteri; Pleuronectiformes; Scophthalmidae
Description: lncRNA (ENSSMAG00000036669.1)
Source: RNAcentral